This 253-nucleotide ribosomal RNA is filed under the name uncultured bacterium. RNAcentral describes it as "partial 16S ribosomal RNA". It matches the Rfam family "Bacterial small subunit ribosomal RNA", at positions 524 to 776 of the family's 1533-position model. The record is from RNAcentral.
UACGUAGGGUGCGAGCGUUAAUCGGAAUUACUGGGCGUAAAGUGUGCGCAGGCGGCCGCGCAAGUCGAGUGUGAAAGCCCCGGGCUUAACUUGGGAAUUGCGCUCGAAACUACGUGGCUGGAGUGUGGCAGAGGAAGGUGGAAUUCCACGUGUAGCGGUGAAAUGCGUAGAGAUGUGGAGGAACACCGAUGGCGAGGGCAGCCUCCUGGGCCAACACUGACGCUCAUGCACGAAAGCGUGGGGAGCAAACAGG